UGGCGACCGGCGCACGGGUGAGUAACACGUAUGCAACCUGCCUUCAACAAGGGCAUAACCCGUUGAAAGACGGACUAAUUCCCUAUGACACAGGGGUCCCGCAUGGGGAUAUUUGUUAAAGAUAUUAUCGGUUGAAGAUGGGCAUGCGUUCCAUUAGCUUGUUGGCGGGGUAACGGCCCACCAAGGCAACGAUGGAUAGGGGAACUGAGAGGUUUAUCCCCCACACUGGUACUGAGACACGGACCAGACUCCUACGGGAGGCAGCAGUGAGGAAUAUUGGUCAAUGGACGCAAGUCUGAACCAGCCACGUCGCGUGAAGGAAGACGGCCCUACGGGUUGUAAACUUCUUUUAUACGGGAAUAAAGUGCCCCACGCGUGGGGUUUUGCAAGUACCGUACGAAUAAGGAUCGGCUAACUCCGUGCCAGCAGCCGCGGUAAUACGGAGGAUCCGAGCGUUAUCCGGAUUUAUUGGGUUUAAAGGGUGCUCAGGCGGGGGAUUAAGUCGGCGGUGAAAUUUUGCAGCUCAACUGUAAAAGUGCCUUCGAAACUGGUUUCCUUGAGUGCGGAUGAGGUAGGCGGAAUUUGUGGUGUAGCGGUGAAAUGCAUAGAUAUCACGAGGAACUCCGAUUGCGCAGGCAGCUUACCAAGCCGUAACUGACGCUCAAGCACGAAGGCGUGGGGAUCAAACAGGAUUAGAUACCCUGGUAGUCCACGCAGUAAACGAUGAUUACUGGCUGUUUGCGAUAUAAUGUAAGCGGCUGAGCGAAAGCGUUAAGUAAUCCACCUGGGGAGCACGUUCGCAAGAAUGAAAC
Molecule: ribosomal RNA, 812 nt
Filed under: uncultured Bacteroides sp.
Lineage: Bacteria; Pseudomonadati; Bacteroidota; Bacteroidia; Bacteroidales; Bacteroidaceae
Description: bacterial SSU rRNA
Rfam family: Bacterial small subunit ribosomal RNA
Source: RNAcentral